This 226-nucleotide ribosomal RNA is filed under the name uncultured bacterium. RNAcentral's name for it is "partial 16S ribosomal RNA". It matches the Rfam family "Bacterial small subunit ribosomal RNA", at positions 538 to 763 of the family's 1533-position model. The record is from RNAcentral.
GCGUUGCUCGGAAUGACUGGGCGUAAAGGGCGCGUAGGCGGAUGGCACAGUCAGAUGUGAAAUUCCCGGGCUCAACCUGGGGACUGCAUUUGAUACGUGGUGUCUGGAGUGGGGAAGAGGGUCGUGGAAUUCCCAGUGUAGAGGUGAAAUUCGUAGAUAUUGGGAAGAACACCGGUGGCGAAGGCGGCGACCUGGUCCUUGACUGACGCUGAGGCGCGAAAGCGUG